RNAcentral lists this ribosomal RNA (497 nucleotides) under uncultured bacterium. RNAcentral's name for it is "partial 16S ribosomal RNA". It matches the Rfam family "Bacterial small subunit ribosomal RNA", at positions 28 to 507 of the family's 1533-position model. The record is from RNAcentral.
GAUGAACGCUGGCGGCGUGCCUAAUACAUGCAAGUCGAGCGAACGGACGAGAAGCUUGCUUCUCUGAUGUUAGCGGCGGACGGGUGAGUAACACGUGGAUAACCUACCUAUAAGACUGGGAUAACUUCGGGAAACCGGAGCUAAUACCGGAUGAUAUUUUGAACCGCAUGGUUCAAAAGUGAAAGACGGUCUUGCUGUCACUUAUAGAUGGAUCCGCGCUGCAUUAGCUAGUUGGUAAGGUAACGGCUUACCAAGGCAACGAUGCAUAGCCGACCUGAGAGGGUGAUCGGCCACACUGGAACUGAGACACGGUCCAGACUCCUACGGGAGGCAGCAGUAGGGAAUCUUCCGCAAUGGGCGAAAGCCUGACGGAGCAACGCCGCGUGAGUGAUGAAGGUCUUCGGAUCGUAAAGCUCUGUUAUUAGGGAAGAACAUAUGUGUAAGUAACUGUGCACAUCUUGACGGUACCUAAUCAGAAAGCCACGGCUAACUACGUG